GAUGAACGCUGGCGGCGUGCCUAAUACAUGCAAGUCGAGCGAACAGACGAGGAGCUUGCUCCUCUGACGUUAGCGGCGGACGGGUGAGUAACACGUGGAUAACCUACCUAUAAGACUGGGAUAACUUCGGGAAACCGGAGCUAAUACCGGAUAAUAUAUUGAACCGCAUGGUUCAAUAGUGAAAGACGGUUUUGCUGCCACUUAUAGAUGGAUCCGCGCCGCAUUAGCUAGUUGGUAAGGUAACGGCUUACCAAGGCAACGAUGCGUAGCCGACCUGAGAGGGUGAUCGACCACACUGGAACUGAGACACGGUCCAGACUCCUACGGGAGGCAGCAGUAGGGAAUCUUCCGCAAUGGGCGAAAGCCUGACGGAGCAACGCCGCGUGAGUGAUGAAGGUCUUCGGAUCGUAAAACUCUGUUAUUAGGGAAGAACAAAUGUGUAAGUAACUAUGCACGUCUUGACGGUACCUAAUCAGAAAGCCACGGCUAACUACGUG
RNAcentral lists this ribosomal RNA (497 nucleotides) under uncultured bacterium. RNAcentral describes it as "partial 16S ribosomal RNA". It matches the Rfam family "Bacterial small subunit ribosomal RNA", at positions 28 to 507 of the family's 1533-position model. The record is from RNAcentral.